RNAcentral lists this transfer RNA (72 nucleotides) under Argentina sphyraena (European argentine). RNAcentral's name for it is "tRNA-Ile". It matches the Rfam family "tRNA". From Rfam's summary of the family: Transfer RNA (tRNA) molecules are approximately 80 nucleotides in length. Their secondary structure includes four short double-helical elements and three loops (D, anti-codon, and T loops). Lineage: Eukaryota; Metazoa; Chordata; Actinopteri; Argentiniformes; Argentinidae. The record is from RNAcentral.
GGAACCGUGCCCGAAUUACUAAGGACCACUUUGAUAGAGUGAAAAACGGGGGUUAAAAUCCCCCCAGUUCCU